UACGGGAGGCAGCAGUGGGGAAUAUUGCACAAUGGGCGCAAGCCUGAUGCAGCCAUGCCGCGUGUAUGAAGAAGGCCUUCGGGUUGUAAAGUACUUUCAGCGGGGAGGAAGGCGAUGCGGUUAAUAACCGCGUCGAUUGACGUUACCCGCAGAAGAAGCACCGGCUAACUCCGUGCCAGCAGCCGCGGUAAUACGGAGGGUGCAAGCGUUAAUCGGAAUUACUGGGCGUAAAGCGCACGCAGGCGGUCUGUUAAGUCAGAUGUGAAAUCCCCGGGCUUAACCUGGGAACUGCAUUUUGAAACUGGCAGGCUUGAGUCUUGUAGAGGGGGUAGAAUUCCAGGUGUAGCGGUGAAAUGCGUAGAGAUCUGGAGGAAUACCGGUGGCGAAGGCGGCCCCUGGGACAAAGACUGACGCUCAGGGUGCGAAAGCGUGGGGAGCAAACGAGGAUUAGGAUACC
RNAcentral lists this ribosomal RNA (457 nucleotides) under uncultured bacterium. Its description in RNAcentral is "bacterial SSU rRNA". It matches the Rfam family "Bacterial small subunit ribosomal RNA", at positions 340 to 786 of the family's 1533-position model. The record is from RNAcentral.